AUUCGACGGCUGGGAUAGCUCAGCCGGUAACAGCGUGAGACUCUGAAUCUCAGGGUCGUGGGUUUGAGCCCCAUGUUGGAUU
Molecule: non-coding RNA, 82 nt
Organism: Podarcis lilfordi (Lilford's wall lizard)
Lineage: Eukaryota; Metazoa; Chordata; Lepidosauria; Squamata; Lacertidae
Source: the annotation of a GenBank genome assembly